Cinara cedri is the source of this 140-nucleotide non-coding RNA. Lineage: Eukaryota; Metazoa; Arthropoda; Insecta; Hemiptera; Aphididae. The record is from the annotation of a GenBank genome assembly.
AGCUUUGCGCAGUGGCGAUAUCGUAACCAAUGAGGUUUAUCCGAGGUGCGAUUAUUGCUAGUUGAAAACUUUAACCAAUACCCCGCCAUGUGGACAUGAAACACUGUCCGCUUCGGCAAUUUUUGCAGGCCCUAGCGGGC